UCAAUCCUACGGGAGGCAGCAGUGAGGAAUAUUGGUCAAUGGACGAGAGUCUGAACCAGCCAAGUAGCGUGAAGGAUGACUGCCCUAUGGGUUGUAAACUUCUUUUAUAAAGGAAUAAAGUGAGGCACGUGUGCCUUUUUGUAUGUACUUUAUGAAUAAGGAUCGGCUAACUCCGUGCCAGCAGCCGCGGUAAUACGGAGGAUCCGAGCGUUAUCCGGAUUUAUUGGGUUUAAAGGGAGCGUAGAUGGGUUGUUAAGUCAGUUGUGAAAGUUUGCGGCUCAACCGUAAAAUUGCAAUUGAUACUG
Molecule: ribosomal RNA, 305 nt
Filed under: uncultured bacterium
Lineage: Bacteria
Description: bacterial SSU rRNA
Rfam family: Bacterial small subunit ribosomal RNA
Source: RNAcentral